AAUAUUGCACAAUGGGCGAAAGCCUGAUGCAGCGACGCCGCGUGAGGGAUGACGGUCUUCGGGUUGUAAACCUCUUUCAGUUGGGAAGAAGCCUUUCGGGGUGACGGUACCUGCAGAAGAAUCGCCGGAUAACUACGUGCCAGCAGCCGCGGUAAUACGUAGGGCGCAAGCGUUGUCCGGAAUUAUUGUGCGUAAAGAUCUCGUAGGCGGGUUGGCGCGUCUGCUGUGAAAACGCAAGGCUUAACCUUGCGCCUGCAGUGGGUACGGGCAGGCUAGAGUGGGGUAGGGGAGACUGGAAUUACUGGUGUAGCGGUGGAAUGCGCAGAUAUCAGGAGGAACACCGGUGGCGAAGGCGGGUCUCUGGGCCGUUACUGACGCUGAGGAGCGAAAGCAUGGGGAGCGAACAG
RNAcentral lists this ribosomal RNA (407 nucleotides) under uncultured bacterium. RNAcentral's name for it is "partial 16S ribosomal RNA". It matches the Rfam family "Bacterial small subunit ribosomal RNA", at positions 360 to 775 of the family's 1533-position model. The record is from RNAcentral.